RNAcentral lists this ribosomal RNA (431 nucleotides) under uncultured bacterium. RNAcentral describes it as "partial 16S ribosomal RNA". It matches the Rfam family "Bacterial small subunit ribosomal RNA", at positions 338 to 795 of the family's 1533-position model. The record is from RNAcentral.
CCUACGGGAGGCUGCAGUAGGGAAUAUUGGACAAUGGACGCAAGUCUGAUCCAGCCAUCCCGCGUGAAGGAUUAAGGCCUCUGGGUUGUAAACUUCUUUUCUUUGGGAAUAGGUACCAGAGGAAUAAGCACCGGCUAACUCCGUGCCAGCAGCCGCGGUAAUACGGAGGGUGCAAGCGUUAUCCGGAUUCACUGGGUUUAAAGGGUGCGUAGGUGGCUUUGUAAGUCAGCGGUGAAAGCCUGGAGCUCAACUCCAGAAUUGCCAUUGAUACUGCAGAGCUUGAAUCAAGUUGAGGUGGAUGGAAUAUUACAUGUAGCGGUGAAAUGCUUAGAUAUGUAAUAGAACACCAAUUGCGAAGGCAGUUCACUAAGCUGAUUGACACUGAGGCACGAAAGCGUGGGGAUCAAACAGGAUUAGAUACCCUUGUAGUC